CGGGAUAGCUCAGUUGGUAGAGCAGAGGACUGAAAAUCUCUU
Molecule: transfer RNA, 42 nt
Filed under: Ageratum conyzoides
Lineage: Eukaryota; Viridiplantae; Streptophyta; Magnoliopsida; Asterales; Asteraceae
Description: partial tRNA-Phe
Source: RNAcentral